CUAAGUUUGUGGUCAAAGGCUUGCACCCAUUUGCCACAGCAGAUGCCCCCGAUUUUCGGAAAACCUCAGGGUCAGUCCGGUUUAUGAUCACAUAAUCAUCGAGCAUUUCCGGACCUGCACUCUGCACUCGGAGCCCUGGACGUUACCCAGCCGCACAUUCUUAUGCACAACCGGCCGGGGCAAUGUGUCCUUCAGCGACCUGCCACUCCAUCAUCAAUCACCUCCCAAGGAGAGGCGUUCACAGGGAAGACUGAAUAAACGUCACUUUGUCAGUACGAACAACAGGACUCGCAAAACUUUUUAAAGGACGCUGCCUCACACCUCUGACAUCCACUUUUCAGGAUGAGCAAUUGCAGAUGCUACUCUGAAUUCUGAUACUGUCUCCGGCCUGAGCCGUGGUCCGCUCAGUCUGACGGCCUGCCUCUAAACACCUCAGGGCUAGACAAAUAAUGUUUGGUCAAAUAGACGGAAAAAAAAAAGAUCCUCUGCUUUCAGUAAAGAAAACAUUUGGAGAGUCUGCGAAGGAUAAAUCUGCUGUCAUAGCCACUGUCAUGAUCUCAAAAAUACCCGCUCCUCUCUCUGACACCUAUAAUCAACAAUAUGCUUGAAGCCAACAGAAGUGUGCUCGAAGAAUCUCGACCUUAUCAUUAAGGAAUCGUUUAUUUUCUGUAGCUGUUAUUGGAUUGUUACACUGGACUCUAGAUGUUGCAUAAAGAAUGUAAAUAGAGUAUUAUAAUGUCCAUAAUAGUUCCAAAUUAAGUGCAAUCUUUGUAUAAAAACAUUUACUCAUGAGUCUAAUCAGUAUGAGAAGGAUAUGCCAGCCUGGUCUCUUUCAGACAGACCCUCCGCACAGCAAGGCCUUCUGCGGUGGAAACACAUGAUGAAGUGGCAAAAGCUAGAUUUAGUGUCCUGACCAGAGAACAGUGAUGGGCUUUGUUUCUGCUUUGCUCCUGUGGGACCCAGUUUGGCUGAUGGCAGUAGGCCGGUGUCCAUAUGGGGGGGAUUCAGGCCAUCACCCACAAUACAGGAACCCUCCAUUAAAAGGACUCUAUCUGGCCUACAGGGGCAAGCAAAUCACAUCAAAAGAGACUUCUAUGGGGGAUUAAUAAAGUCGCUUAGUGUGCUAUAGAAAUUCCAUCAUUCAUCAACUAUGAUAACAAUAAUGAUAUAUAUGAGUCGAGCCCCUAGCUAGGAUUAGUAAGUUACAAGGAAAACAGUAUACUCUCAUCACAGAAUUGGACUGGGAAGCCUAAUAAUGCUCCCCCGUGACCUCGGAUGAAAAAGUUAAUGCUCAUUUAGUUCAGAGUGAAAUUACUAUUAAAGUGUUUCCUCAGACCUUGUCUCCGGAGCACCUAACUUUUCCCCAAGCGCCACUGUAUAACCACUGUGGUGAUUUUCAUGAAAAGUGCUACAUUUGAUUAACAUUCAACUGAUGCCUAAACCUAAAAAUAUGAGUGCAUCGAAUUUUCACGCUCUUCUUUUCUGCUCUACUUUUGCCAAAGAACAAGUGCACUAAAUUAAGAUUCUGGUAAUGUGAACACUAACAUACAUAUGACUUAUACAAAUAUCUUAUACAAAAACCCCAAAUCAUAUAUAGUUAUACAUUUGACAGUUCAAUUGAGUGUGUUUUUGUGUUUGUUAUGCACUUUAACUGUCAGUGCAAAUUUUUUAACUUUUUGGUGCAGCUGAGCGGCCGCUGAUUAUCGAUCAAGUUAUUGAAAUAAGGCACUAUAAAAGCAUUUAAAAUCUAGAAAAUACUGCAGCAGAGCAGGCAGCAACAUUGUGGGGCUAAGAACUGUUAGGGUGCCUGGGUCAUCGACCCAGUGUUUUGUGGUUUUGGUUCUUUGAUUUUGUUUAUUUCAUUAUAUUAUGGGUUAUAGGUUUAUUCUUAGUUUAGGUUUUCUGUGUGGGUUUUGUAUUAAUGUUCUGGUUUUCUGUCUGUGAUCCAUAGUUGCUGUCUCCCCUGUCUGCUGUGUCACCGUGUCAAGUCUGCGUCUCUGUGUUAUGUUUCCUGUUUUACUUUGAAAGUCCAUGUCUUAUGUUAAUGUGUCUGGUUUUGCUUCCUUUGUCUCGUUAGGCCUGAGUUGCCCCAGCUGUGUUUCCCUCCUGUUUCCCGUUCCCUGAUUGCUCCCUCUGUGUAUUUAAGCCCUGUGUUUCUCUGUGUCUGUGUUGCGAUCUACCCUUAUCCACCCUCGUCUUGCUGUGUGUUCUGGCUGCCUGCUUGUGUAAGUUUAUUUGGAAGUUUGUUGCUUUUUCAGUUCAGCAUUAAAGCUGUUUUUUGAGUUUA
Oreochromis niloticus (Nile tilapia) is the source of this 2287-nucleotide long non-coding RNA. RefSeq lists it as uncharacterized. The record is from RefSeq and is a predicted model, not a curated record. The transcript has 2 exons. NCBI's taxonomy places the organism in Eukaryota, Metazoa, Chordata, Actinopteri, Cichliformes, Cichlidae.